GCCCAGGUGGCGGAAUUGGUAGACGCGCAUGGUUCAGGUCCAUGUGCCUUCGGGUGUGGGGGUUCGAGUCCCCCCUUGGGCACCA
This 85-nucleotide transfer RNA is filed under the name Advenella incenata. Its description in RNAcentral is "tRNA-Leu". It matches the Rfam family "tRNA". Rfam says of the family: Transfer RNA (tRNA) molecules are approximately 80 nucleotides in length. Their secondary structure includes four short double-helical elements and three loops (D, anti-codon, and T loops). RNAcentral also lists the same sequence under 7 other names. Lineage: Bacteria; Pseudomonadati; Pseudomonadota; Betaproteobacteria; Burkholderiales; Alcaligenaceae. The record is from RNAcentral.